GUGGGCCAACAAAGAUCUCUGAGUCAAAUGCGAGAAGAAUGGUAACAUCAUUACAUACUCCAAGUACAAUUUCUGUAUUUCCCAGAUAUGACCAACAUCUGAAGUUUUGGUUGGAUCAGACCAUAAUGCCUGGUGUAUACUUGUCCAACCAUGAGACAGUACAUGAAUCAGAUGAAAUUGCUCGGUCCAAGUUCAUACUGGGGUAUAUAUAUCAAGUUGUUACCACAGGUAUAUUGCUCAAUGCCUAAAACCUCCUCAUCAGAAACCACUCUUCUCAUCUGAUUCCCCUUUUCCUCUUACCUUUUUCUCCAUCAGGAGCUUGUUUCCUCUCUUCUAUUUUUCUUUAUUUUUUUUCUCCAGGUUUCUCCCUUUUAGCAUCAAAUUUCUCGAACUGCUUAAAUUUAAAGCCUUUUAUCUCCUUGCUACAAGAUGUAUUUCUUGAGAAGGAAUUUAGUGUCUCUCUAUUAAAGUAAAUUUAAAGCUUGGCACCAUGUUCAUUUGCUUAAUUUUCUUCCUUAAGAGUGGUAUUUUGCUUGAUGGCUUAAGUUUCUAGUUUCAUGCUUGCAUUGAUCUAUUAAGGGCAGUUCUAUGCAUAUUUUGCAUAGAUCUAUUUGAAUCUAAGCUGGCACCACAUGUUGGCCUUGUGAGGAUCCUCGCUAGGUUGGAAGAGACUUGGCCAAGAUUUGCACUCAUUUGCUCAAGAUCAAAAUCUCCAACGAAGAUUGGUGUAAAUCUAACCCUAAAUUCGAAAUCUCCACUGAAGAUUGGUGAACAUAGGUUAGAUUGCAUAUCCAGCUAAGAUCCACAAAAACCAUCCAGAUUGAUGUGGUUCUACCUAAGCACUCACAAAUUCCACUCCAUACCCGCAUAUAUCUAAGCAGUUCCACACAGAUUAGUCUAAGACUCAGUAGAUUAGGCCUAAAUCCUUGCAUAACUAACCUAAGGACAUGUGGAUCUAAUCAACAUAUAUAUAUAUAUAUAUAUAUAUAUAUAUAUAUAUAUAUAUAUAUAUAUAUAUAUAUAUAUAUAUAUAUACAUACAUAUAUAUAUAUGCCGAUCUAACAAAGAUUCCUCUAAAUGUAGGCUAGAUGCUUUGAACACCAUCUGGACUUCUGAGGAUCUAUGAUAGAUUUAGGUUUUUAACUCUCAUUUUAAAUACUGUUUUUAAUAUUAAUUGGGAAAUAAUAUCAAAAUAGCUUCAGAAAAUUACAAUGGGAACACUAUCUUCCACAAGUCCAUCAAUACAUCAGAUCAGAUUCAUGAUGCAAUCUGAUGGAGUUGAGAUUGGAGAAAGUCAUAGUUUAGAUAGUGAUAACUGACAUUUAUUUCAGGAGGGUCAUUUAACAACUGAUGGACACACAUUUGCAUCUUUUCUGGACACCAUGUGCUGCACAUCUAUGGGUUUGAUAAUGGACAUUAGUGACAUUCCAAUGUUGAUGAAGACAUUGACACAAGGCACAGUUAAUCAUCCAUUUAAGAGAAAGACUGCACUCAAGGUUAUGUUUGAGACUGAGUGACUGGUCUAAAUCUAGUUUUAUGAGCUCAGGUGGCAAAAGAUAGUUGAUGACAUCAAGGAGAUGAUCAGAAACAUAUAUCAAGGCAGAUAGGACUUUCCAAUGGUUAUAGCCCUCGUACCAACAUACAAUUGAUCGCAAUUUACCAAGUCCAAGGUUUUGUAUGGCUUAGACCCACAACUGCAACAUGUUCAUGGCAGUUAUACUGUUCUGGAGCUUAACAACCAUUAUUGGAGUUACAGCCCAUACAAUAUACACAAGCAAGAGUGCAGGAGUGCCAACUGUGACAAUGGUGUAGGCACCAACUGCCAUUUAAUGAUCACUUCUCAAUCCAGAAUUGGCACAUGGUAUAUUGACACCAAAAGUCAUGAGUAUCAUGAGUUUUUUGAAAAG
This 1907-nucleotide long non-coding RNA is filed under the name Musa acuminata (dwarf banana). Its description in RNAcentral is "long non-coding RNA (MACU_LNC001026)". The record is from RNAcentral. Lineage: Eukaryota; Viridiplantae; Streptophyta; Magnoliopsida; Zingiberales; Musaceae.